This 343-nucleotide RNase P RNA is filed under the name uncultured Faecousia sp. Its description in RNAcentral is "Bacterial RNase P class A". It matches the Rfam family "Bacterial RNase P class A". Rfam says of the family: Ribonuclease P (RNase P) is a ubiquitous endoribonuclease, found in archaea, bacteria and eukarya as well as chloroplasts and mitochondria. Its best characterised activity is the generation of mature 5'-ends of tRNAs by cleaving the 5'-leader elements of precursor-tRNAs. Lineage: Bacteria; Bacillati; Bacillota; Clostridia; Eubacteriales; Oscillospiraceae. The record is from RNAcentral.
GGACGGACAGCCGCGUGGCUCCGCCGAAAGGCGAUUCCAUGAGGAAAGUCCGGGCUCCACAGGGCAAGAAUAACGGGUAACGCCCGCCGAAGGCGACUUCAGGAAAAGUGCAACAGAAAUAAACCGCCCCAUCGGGAAUUCCGACGGGGUAAGGAUGGAAAGGCGAGGUAAGAGCUCACCCGCCGCAUGGGAACAUUGCGGCGCUGUAAACUCUAUUCGGAGCAACACCGUGGAGGAGGCAAUGGUCGGCCCGACCGCUUCCGGGGAGGUGGCUUGAGCGUACCGGCAACGGUGCGUCGAGAUAGAUGGCUGUCAAGACAGAACCCGGCUUAUAGUCCCGAUU